UACGUAGGGGGCAAGCGUUGUCCGGAUUUAUUGGGCGUAAAGAGCGUGUAGGCGGCCAGGUAGGUCCGUUGUGAAAACUCGAGGCUCAACCUCGAGACGCCGAUGGAAACCAUCUGGCUAGAGUCCGGAAGAGGAGAGUGGAAUUCCCGGUGUAGCGGUGAAAUGCGCAGAUAUCAGGAAGAACACCCGUGGCGAAGGCGGCUCUCUGGGACGGUACUGACGCUGAGACGCGAAAGCGUGGGGAGCAAACAGG
RNAcentral lists this ribosomal RNA (253 nucleotides) under uncultured bacterium. RNAcentral's name for it is "partial 16S ribosomal RNA". It matches the Rfam family "Bacterial small subunit ribosomal RNA", at positions 524 to 776 of the family's 1533-position model. The record is from RNAcentral.